UAAUACGGGGGGAGCGAGCGUUGUUCGGAUUUAUUGGGCGUAAAGGGCGUACAGGCGGUAGUGUAAGUCAGAUGUGAAAUGCCUCGGCUCAACCGGGGAUCUGCAUUUGAUACUGCAUUACUUGAGUACAGGAGAGGAGAGCGGAAUUCUAGGUGUAGCGGUGGAAUGUGUAGAUAUCUGGAAGAACACCAGUGGCGAAGGCGGCCCUCUGGCCUGAUACUGACGCUGACGCGCGAAAGCUAGGGGAGCAAACAGGAUUAGAUACCCUGGUAGUCCUAGCUGUAAACGUUGGGCACUAGGUGUUGGGGGUAUCGACCCCCUCAGUGCCGAAGCUAACGCAUUAAGUGCCCCGCCUGGGGAGUACGGCCGCAAGGCUG
This 377-nucleotide ribosomal RNA is filed under the name uncultured Deferribacteres bacterium. RNAcentral's name for it is "bacterial SSU rRNA". It matches the Rfam family "Bacterial small subunit ribosomal RNA", at positions 521 to 896 of the family's 1533-position model. Lineage: Bacteria; Pseudomonadati; Deferribacterota; Deferribacteres. The record is from RNAcentral.